Molecule: ribosomal RNA, 895 nt
Filed under: Stachybotrys nephrospora
Lineage: Eukaryota; Fungi; Ascomycota; Sordariomycetes; Hypocreales; Stachybotryaceae
Description: eukaryotic LSU rRNA
Rfam family: Eukaryotic large subunit ribosomal RNA
Source: RNAcentral
CUUAAGCAUAUCAAUAAGCGGAGGAAAAGAAACCAACAGGGAUUGCCUCAGUAACGGCGAGUGAAGCGGCAACAGCUCAAAUUUGAAAUCUGGCCCUCUGGGUCCGAGUUGUAAUUUGCAGAGGAUGCUUUUGGCGCGGUGCCUUCCGAGUUCCCUGGAACGGGACGCCACAGAGGGUGAGAGCCCCGUCUGGUUGGACACCAAGCCUAUGUAAAGCUCCUUCGACGAGUCGAGUAGUUUGGGAAUGCUGCUCUAAAUGGGAGGUACAUGCCUUCUAAAGCUAAAUACCGGCCAGAGACCGAUAGCGCACAAGUAGAGUGAUCGAAAGAUGAAAAGCACUUUGGAAAGAGAGUUAAAAAGCACGUGAAAUUGUUAAAAGGGAAGCGUUUAUGACCAGACGUGGGCCGGUUAAUCAUCCAGCGUUCUCGCUGGUGCACUUUGCCGGUCCAGGCCAGCAUCAGUUCGCCGCGGGGGACAAAGGCGUCGGGAAUGUGGCUCCUCGGAGUGUUAUAGCCCUUCGCGCAAUACCCUGGGGCGGACUGAGGUUCGCGCUCUGCAAGGAUGCUGGCGUAAUGGUCAUCAACGACCCGUCUUGAAACACGGACCAAGGAGUCGUCUUCGUAUGCGAGUGUUCGGGUGUAAAACCCCUACGCGUAAUGAAAGUGAACGCAGGUGAGAGCUUCGGCGCAUCAUCGACCGAUCCUGAUGUUCUCGGAUGGAUUUGAGUAAGAGCAUACGGGGCCGGACCCGAAAGAAGGUGAACUAUGCCUGUAUAGGGUGAAGCCAGAGGAAACUCUGGUGGAGGCUCGCAGCGGUUCUGACGUGCAAAUCGAUCGUCAAAUAUGGGCAUGGGGGCGAAAGACUAAUCGAACUUUCUAGUAGCUGGUUUCCGCCG